UACAGAGGUCUCAAGCGUUGUUCGGAUUCAUUGGGCGUAAAGGGUGCGUAGGCGGCGCGGUAAGUCGGGUGUGAAAUCUCGGAGCUUAACUCCGAAACUGCAUUCGAUACUGCCGUGCUUGAGGACUGGAGAGGAGACUGGAAUUUACGGUGUAGCGGUGAAAUGCGUAGAUAUGUCACAGAACACCGAUCGCGAAGGCAGCUAACGAAGCUAGUACUGACACUGAUGCACGAAAGCGUGGGGAGCAAACAGG
RNAcentral lists this ribosomal RNA (253 nucleotides) under uncultured bacterium. Its description in RNAcentral is "partial 16S ribosomal RNA". It matches the Rfam family "Bacterial small subunit ribosomal RNA", at positions 524 to 776 of the family's 1533-position model. The record is from RNAcentral.